RNAcentral lists this ribosomal RNA (441 nucleotides) under uncultured bacterium. Its description in RNAcentral is "partial 16S ribosomal RNA". It matches the Rfam family "Bacterial small subunit ribosomal RNA", at positions 338 to 795 of the family's 1533-position model. The record is from RNAcentral.
CCUACGGGGGGCAGCAGUGGGGGAUAUUGCACAAUGGGGGGAACCCUGAUGCAGCGACGCCGCGUGGGUGAAGGAGUAUUUCGGUAUGUAAAGCCCUAUCGGCAGGGAAGAAGCAAGACGGUACCUGACUAAGAAGCCCCGGCUAACUACGUGCCAGCAGCCGCGGUAAUACGUAGGGGGCGAGCGUUAUCCGGAUUCACUGGGUGUAAAGGGAGCGUAGACGGCCAUGCAAGCCAGGGGUGAAAGCCCGGGGCCCAACCCCGGGACUGCCCUUGGAACUGCAUGGCUGGAGUGCGGGAGGGGCAGGCGGAAUGCCUGGUGUAGCGGGGAAAUGCGUAGAUAUCAGGAGGAACACCGGCGGCGAAGGCGGCCUGCUGGACCGCGACUGACGUUGAGGCUCGAAAGCGUGGGGAGCGAACAGGAUUAGAUACCCCUGUAGUC